RNAcentral lists this ribosomal RNA (3246 nucleotides) under Durio zibethinus. RNAcentral's name for it is "eukaryotic LSU rRNA". It matches the Rfam family "Eukaryotic large subunit ribosomal RNA". Lineage: Eukaryota; Viridiplantae; Streptophyta; Magnoliopsida; Malvales; Malvaceae. The record is from RNAcentral.
GCGACCCCAAGUCAAGCGGGAUCACCCGCUGAGUUUAAGCAUAUCAAUAAGCAGAGAAAAAGAAACUUACCAGGAUUCCCCUAGUAACGGUGAGUGAACCGAGAAGAGCCCAGCUUGAGAAUCGGGUGCCCCUGAUGUCUGAAUUGUAGUCUGGAGAAGUGUCCUCAGCGGUGAACUAGGCCCAAGUCCCCUGCAAAGGGGCACCGGAGAGGGUGAGAGCCCUAUUGUGCCUGGACUCUAUCGUAGCAUGAGAUGCUGUCAACGAGUCGAGUUGUUUGGGAAUACAGCCCGAAUUGGGCGAUAAAUUCUAUCCAAGGCUGAAUACGGGCGAGAAACUGAUAGCGAACAAGUACCGCAAGGGAAAGAUGAAAAGGACUUUGAAAAAAGAGUCAAAGAGUACUUGAAAUUGUUGGAAGGGAAACGGAUAGUGACUGAUGAUGCGCCCUGAUCGGAUGUAGAAUGACAAGAGUCGGUCCACCGAUUGGCUCGAGGUGUGGACCGCUGCGGGUCACGAUGGUGGCCAAGCCUGAGCUUUCAAUGUGCCCGCAGAGACGUCUUCAUCAUGAUCAUGGAAUGCAGCAGGCGCUGUCUCGAUGUGCCUCGACACCGUGUGCUCCUGGCAUCGACCUGUGGGCUCUCCAUCCAACCCGUCUUGAAACAUGAACCAAAGAGUAUGACAUGCAUGUGAGUCAAUGGGCCAAGAAACUCAUAAAGCACAAGGAAACUGAUUGGCAGGAUCCCUCACGGGUGCACUAUCGACCAACCUUGAUCUUCUGAGAAGGGUUUGAGUGCAAGCAUGCUCGUCGAGACCUGAAAGAUGGUGAACUAUGCCUGAGCAGGGCAAAGCCAGAGGAAACUCUAGUGGAGGCCUGCAGUGAUACUGAUGUGCAAAUCAUUCCUUGGACUUGGGUAUAGGGGCUAGAGACUAAUCGAACCGUCUAGUAGCUGGUUCCCUUCGAAGUUUCCCUUAGGAUAGCUGGAGCCCCCAGUGAGUUCUAUCGGGUAAAGCCAAUGAUUAGAGGCAUCGAGAGUGCAAUGCCCUCAAACUAUUCUCAAACUUUAAAUAGGUAGGAUGAUGCGGCUGCUUUGUUGAGCCAUGCCACGGAAUCGAGAGCUCCAAGUGGGCCAUUUUUGGUAAGCAGAACUGGUGAUGCAAGAUGAACUGAAAGUUGAGUUACGGUGCCCAAGUACACGCUAACACAGAACCCAUAAAAUGGUGUUGGUUGAUUAAGACAGCAAGACGAUGGUCAUGGAAGUCAAAAUCCGCUAAGGAGUGUGUAACAACUCACCUGUCGAAUCAACUAGCCUCGAAAAUGGAUGGAGCUUAAACGCGACACCUAUACCCAGUCGUCGGGGCAAGGGCCAAGCCUCGAAUGAGUAGGAGGGCAUGACAGUCAUUGUAAAACCCGGGGCACGAGCCCACACGAAACGAUCAUCGAUGUAGAUCUUAGUGGUAGUAGUAAAUAUUCAAAUGAAAACUUUGAAGGCUGAAAAGGGGAAAGGUUCCAUGUGAACGGCACUUGCACAUGGGUUAGUAGAUCCUAAGAGACGGGGAAAGCCCGUUCGAUAGAGCAACCCGUGAGAGCUUCGAAAGGAAAUCGGGUUAAAAUUCCUAAACCAGGAUGCGACGACUGACUGCAAUGUUAGGGAGUCUGGAGACAUCGGUGGGGGCCUCGAGAAGAGUUAUCUUUUCUAUUUAACGGCCCGCCCACCCUGGAAACGGCUCAACCAGAGGUCGCGUGGUGUCCGAUAUGCCCCCGGUGGCCCUUGAAAAUCUGAAGGACUGAGUGCCGUCCGUGCCCGGUCGUACUCAUAAUCGCAUUAGGUCUCCAAGGUGAAUAGCCUCUGGUCGAUGGAACAAUGUAGGCAAGAGAAGUCAGCAAAAUAGAUCCGCAACCUUGAGAAAAGGAUUGGCUCUGAGGGUUGGGCAUAGAGGUCUCAGUCUCGAACCCGUCGACUGUCGGUGCACUGUUCGAGCUGUUCCCGUGACGAGAAUGGGUCGUCGUGUUUCGAUCGGGUGACAGAUUGGGAAAGGCUCCCACCAGGGCCUUUCCAAGGCGACUAACAGUCAAUUAAGAAUUGGUAUGGACAAGGGGAAUCCAACUGUUUAAUUAAAACAAAGCAUUGGUGAUGGUCCUUGCGGAUGCUCACACAAUGUGAUUUCUGCCCAGUGCUCUGAAUGUCAAAGUGAAGAAAUUCAACCAAGCGCGGGUAAAUGGCGAAAGUAACUAUGACUCUCUUAAGGUAGCCAAAUGCCUCAUCAUCUAAUUAGUGUCGCGCAUGAAUGGAUUAACGAGAUUUCCACUGUCCCUGUCUACUACUAGCGAAACCACAGCCAAGGGAACAGGCUUGGUGGAAUCAGCGGAGAAAGAAGACCCUGUUGAGCUUGACUCUAGUCCGACUUUGUGAAAUGACUUGAGAGGUGUAGGAUAAGUGGGAGCCCCCGGGCAAAAUUGAAAUACCACUACUUUUAAUGUUAUUUUACUUAUUCCGUGAAUCGAAGGUGGGGCACGACCCUUUCUUUUAGACCCAAGGUCAGUUUCGGCCGAUCGAUCCGGGUGAAAGACAUUGUCAGGUGGAGAGUUUGGCUGAGGUGGCACAUCUGUUAAAAGAUAAUGCAGGUGUCCUAAGAUGAGCUCAACGAGAACAAAAAUCUCGUGUAGAAUAAAAGGGUAAAAGCUCAUUUGAUUUUGAUUUCCAGUAUGAAUAUGAACCGUGAAAGUGUGGCCUAUCGAUCCUUUAAACCUUCGAGAUUUGAAGCUAGAGGUGUCAGAAAAGUUUCCAUAGGGAUAAUCGGUUUGUGGCAGCCAAGCGUUCAUAGUGAUGUUGCUUUUUGAUCCUUCGAUGUCGGCUUUUCCUAUCAUUGUGAAGUAGAAUUCACCAAGUGUUGGAUUGUUCACCCACCAAUAGGGAACAUGAGCUGGGUUUAGACUAUCAUGAGACAGGUUAGUUUUACCCUACUGAUGGUGAUGGCAUGAUAGUAAUUCAACCUAGUACGAGAGGAACCAUUGAUUCACAUAAUUGGUCAUCGCAUUUGGUUGAAAAGCCAAUGGCAUGAAGCUACCAUGCGUUGGAUUAUGAUUAAACGCCUCUAAGUCAGAAUCUGGGCUAGAAGUGAUGCGCGUGCCCAUCGCCCGAUUGUUGACUCGCAGUAGGGGCCCAUGGCCCCUAAGGGCACGUGUCGUAGGUGCAGCCCCCGUGAUGGAUGAGCCGUACGGGCCUCCUUAGAGCUCAAUUCCCACCGAA